CAAUCGUCUGCCCCGUACUGCGGUCCUGCAUAAUAAAGGGAUCAUCAAUACAAUAUAUACCACAAUGGAGGGCACGAGUCAAAUGACUAACAGAUGCAAGAUUAAAAGGACAGCCAGGGACAUAGAGAACGGAAUAUAGAGUGACAGAGGGUAGGGGAGUCGCUUGUCCAACUCCUUUUGCUUUGGUUUGAGACCCAUUGGCUAAAGUAACAGUAGGAAGGGACUGAGGCAGGGGAGUUGCUUGUCCAACUCCUUUUGCUUUGGUUUGAGACCCAUUGGCUAAAAUAACAAUAGGAAGGGACUGUGAAUACGCAAUAUUUGAC
Molecule: long non-coding RNA, 323 nt
Filed under: Nicotiana benthamiana
Lineage: Eukaryota; Viridiplantae; Streptophyta; Magnoliopsida; Solanales; Solanaceae
Description: long non-coding RNA (NBEN_LNC007681)
Source: RNAcentral